GCUUAUUCUCUCUCUCUCUCUCAAAUAAAUAAAUAAAAUCUUUAAAAAAAAAUUUUUUUUUAAGGCGAGCAAUAUUUAAGACUAACAUGUGAAGAGAUCCACAGAUGAUAGCUUAUUUUAUAUAAGCAAAGAUUAACAAUUUUAAUAAUAAUAAACAUUAAAUGCCAAUAAAACUUUAACCAGUUAGGAAAUGCACUUGUAUACAAAGAUGGAUAUUUUGGAACAGUUACCAGGUAAGUCUUAAAGAGUUCUCAGGUUUGGGCACCUGGGUGGCUCAGUUGGUUAAGCCACUGCCUUCGAUUCAGGUCACGAUCCCAGAGUUCUGGGACCCAGCUCCAUAUCUGGCUUCCCCUGCUCUGCAAGGACCCUGCUUCUCCCUCUCCCUCUCUCUCUCUGCCCCACUGCUUGUACUUGCUCUCUCUCUCUCCCUGUCAAAAAAAUAAAUAAAAUCUCAAAAAAAAAAAAAAAAAAAAAAGAAUUCUCUGGUUUGAACUUUGCACAAUUCUAGAAUGGAAAAGAGGUGGGGUUUAUUUCCCCACCCCGUUGCAUCUGGGCUAGCCUUGAGACCUUACUUUGACCAAUAAAACAUGGCAGAAGUAAUAAUAUAUGAAUUCUUCUCUUAUUCUUGGAAUUCAGACACCAAGCGAAGAGGACUGGGCCAGCCCGUGGGAGACAUGUGGACUGGCCCACAGCCAGCACCAGUUCUCACAUAUGUGAGUGGGGCCGCGCUGAAUCAUGCUGAAUCACCGAACGAGUUCCAGGCCAGCUCCAAUUUAACUACAGACGUAUUCCUCCUCUUGGGCAGGAAGCAUGCUGAAGGGCUUUGCUGCUGGGGUGGUUGGUGUUUCCUUGGAGGAGCCCUACCUUGUCUACAGGAUUCUGGUGGCCGUUACUGGGGAACAUGCCUGCCCCAUGCUCAACAGUCAUAAAUAAACAGUCACUGUUGUUAGGGAUAUAUAUUUUGAUUCCCAAAAUACCAUAUCUUUCUUUCCUUUUUUCCUUCUUCCCAAGUAAGGUGAUUUUGAAGUCUAGCUUGUGGAGAAUAAACAUGGAAAAGUGGUAGAAAACCUCUGAAAAAACAAAUGAUGAGGUUAUGUAAAAAUCUCAUUAAUUAAUCAUUAAUGACCAUGCAUUUUUGUGGACAAAAUACAUGUGGCGAUUCAUUAUAUUUAUUAUGGUAUUGUUUGUAAUAGCAAAGAAUUGGAAACAAUCCUAAAUGUCCUUCUAUGGCGGUGGGGGAGGGGUGUGUGUGUGUGGUGUGUGUGUGACUCAAGAAAAAAGUACAUUACAAUAGAAUACAAUGCAGCUGGACCAAAGUAUGAAGAAGCUGUUAAGCACUGAUACAGAAUGUUUUCCCACAUUAAGUGAAAAAAAUCAAGAUACAAAAUAAUGUGUAUUAUGUGCUAUUAUUUGCAUUAAAAAGGAAGGAAACCAUCUUCAUACUUGCUUGAAUAUACAUAAAAACAUAUUCUCUGGAAGGAUAGCCAAGAAAGGGUUAGUAGAAGUCAGUUAUUUUACCAGCAAAAAUGGGUUUAUUUGGAAACACCAAAGAAAUGCACAAUAGUUACGGCUGUAUCUUGUAGCCUCCCCUUUCCAGCCUCCUGACUUCUACUUUAGUGGCGUUUCCCUGUAUUGAUUUUAUAGCAGUGCUAUUGGGUGCCUGGGUGGCUCCGUUGGUUAAAAAAACCUGCUUUCGGCUCAGGUCAUGAUCCCGGGGUCCUGGGAUUGAGCCUGGCUCAUCCGGAGUAGGGUUCCCUGCUUGGUGGGGAGCCUGCUUCUCCCUCUCCCUUUGCUGCUCAGCUUGUGCUCUCUCGCACUCUGUCAAAUAAAUAAAAAAAAAAUCUAUUUUUUUAAGUUUAUUAAUGUAUUUUUAGUAAUCUCUACAUCCAACCUGGGGCUGCACCUGACAACCCCCAGAUCAAGAGCUGCAUGGUCUACUGAUCAAGCCAGCUUCACAACCCUGAUUUGCAUAGCAAUGUUAUUAGUUGUCACCUAUUUGUUUGUAUAAGCACCCAAAUAUUUUAAUACCUAUUAAGGCAUAACUGCAUAAGAUGCUAACUAAACUUAGUUUUUGAAGUUCAGGAAUGGCUUAGCUGGGUGGUACUAACUGGCUCAAAGUUUUUGAUGAGAUUGCAAUCACCUGUGAGCGAAGGACUUGACUGGGGCCGGGAGAGCUGCUUCCCAGAACGGCUCACUCCUAGGGCUCUGCGCCUGAGGCCUCAGCUCGUCCCCAGCUGGGCCGCUCCAUAAAGCUGCUUGAAUAUUUCCGAUAUGGCAGCCGGCCUCUCAGAGUGAAUGAUCUGAGAGAGAGAGACAGAGGAGAGGGACAGGGAGCGGCAGCACAAGAAAAGAAGCUGCAGACUUUUAUGAUUUACUCUAAAUCACACACACAGUCACACCUGCCACGGUCUACUCAUUUGAAGAGGCAGAGUCAGGCCCACACACAAGGGAAGGAGAGUUAGGCUUUCUCUUUUCAGAGGAGUAUCAGAGAAUUUUAAGUAUUUUGAAACCACCCUGGGAGGAGAAGAGAACAACUGGGUGAACAGUGGCAGGGCUGGAAGGAAGAUUUUCCACUAUAUUUAUUUUUAUACUAUACAAAACAAAUUAUUAAUUACAUAUCUUUUAAAAAGAGAUAUUUUAAGCUAUUUGGUAAAGAACUGGGAGAGAAAUAAAAGAAAAAAAAGGGGGUUUGAAGGGGAUGUGAAUGGGGGUCUGUAAGAUACGAAAAAGAGAGGGUCUACUUUGUGCUCACCUUGCUCUCUUCCCACCUCAGAUUUAGCAUUUUCAUUUUCUAGGGUUCGAGGUGGUGAGGGUGUGCGGCCAGUAGUUUCGGGUAAUGGGUUUGUAGAGGAGCGGGAACUCUGUAGCGAGAAUGUUCUAUGGGAUAGUUUUACUGUGGGCGUUUAUCAUUUAUUUGAGCGCCAAGUCCUGUUACAACAAUAUCUCUCCGGUCUAAGUCAUUCUGCAGCCAUGGCCUGUGGUCAUUGCUGAUUUUUAAAAACACCGCAUGGCAUCCAAUACCGUUUCUGGAUGGUUUGUUUCUAAGCUCCACCCUUCCGGCCCCCCAAACUCCCCGUCAGGUCUGACAUCGACGCUCUCACAGAACUUGCAUCAACGGUCAAGCACGACGAGAGGAUUUCACCUGGUGAUAAAAUUGGGGGAGAUUUAAUUUGGACAAAGACGUGGCAUGAAACCCAACGGGUUUAUUGUCUCUAUAAAAAGGUCUUUCAGGUCAAGUGUACCGACGCGUACAGCACUAACUGUACUCACGGCGCCCGGUCACUUUACAAGUCGCGAGGCGAGGAGAAAGUUUUAACCUCUCUUUAAUACACGUAGUCAACACUAAAAGCCCGCUUUCAAGCCAUUUAAAUGCAGUUAUUCCUCCUGAAGGGUCAGGGCGCGUGGGCAGAGAGCGAACUCUGUCCUCGCUCCAACCGCGGCGAGCAGAGUCCUUCCCGCUUCUCCCGCGCCCCCCCCCCUCCCCCUCGCCCG
This is a long non-coding RNA of Mustela putorius furo (domestic ferret), 3492 nucleotides long. The record is from Ensembl. Lineage: Eukaryota; Metazoa; Chordata; Mammalia; Carnivora; Mustelidae.